UCUCGGCCCCUCCUCCGCAGCGCGCACCUGUCCCGCAGAAAAUAACCACCUAAGACCACAUCUUCAGCAUGUUCUGGACAGAUGUAAACACACUGGGCAUGUGCAGAAUUGUGAAAUUAUCUUGCAAAAAAUGGCAAUAAGAUUGAAAGUGUUCACCAGCCAUGGUGGCGCACACCUGUAAUCCCAGCGCUCUGGAGGCUGAGGCAGGAGGAUCACUUGAAAAUGAUCAUUCCAGGAAAUUAAAUGUCACAUCUUCCCUUGAAUGAGAACUCGCCUGUCUGUCAACUUCUGGAUGCUUUUUCCUGGACUUUUGAGUUUAGAGCUAAAAUCGAGCCCUAAAAUGAACAGGCAGAAAGACACUGAGAUAGUGCGGUACAUGGGGAGAGAAGGGCGCUGGGAUGUUGAAUAUCACACGGCACCAGCCUGCGCCCAUCUCAAGGGCCACACGAUGUGGCACUGCAAGCCAGCCCUGUGCUCUCAGCCUAUCCCCAGAGUCACUGUUCAGUUCACUUUUCCAGAGCCCAGGAGUCUUAAAGGCAUGGUACACUCAGGACAAAGGGGAAUCCUGAGAGGCUUGGUUGUUCUCCUUCUGCCGUAUAUUUUCCUGUAUCUGUGCAGCCUGCCCAAACCACCAUUGCUCAGACCUGGUCAUCCUUUCUGUGCGCUCAGGAGAGGGGACCUUCUUAUGAAUGGACAAUGGACAUCCUCUUAUUCGACUACAUUUCCUACUCCUCUCUGUGAUAUGGUGAUAUUAUAAGAAGUAGAUAUUUGGUUUUUAUUCUUCAUUCCUUGCACACAACUCCUAAAACCCUUGGAGUCUCCAAAAGGUUGAGUGUCUUUUCUGUGCUGAAGAAACGAUUGGUGGCUGCGAGCCCUUAGGUCGCCUCAGGAGGAAACUGUCUCUGUGGCCUGGGUCUCAGCGGGCAGAGAACUGAAACCCAUGGAAAUGGCAGUGUGUGACCUGAGCCAACAGCCUUCAGUUGUGAGGGCUGUAGAGAAAGCAAUGUGACUGGGUGGGGUUAGCUAGGUUUCUUAGGGCCAGAGGGGUAAAGAAUGUUCAGUGAAGAGGCUGGAGGUCACAGGGAGUUUGCUGAUGGAAUGUGAUUCCUGGGGCGGUGGAGGAAAAGUUUGCGAAGAAAGAAGUUGUUUUUGUUUUGUUUUGUUUUGUUUUGUUUGUACAGG
Fukomys damarensis (Damara mole-rat) is the source of this 1182-nucleotide long non-coding RNA. RefSeq lists it as uncharacterized. Lineage: Eukaryota; Metazoa; Chordata; Mammalia; Rodentia; Bathyergidae. The record is from RefSeq and is a predicted model, not a curated record. The transcript has 4 exons.